UUCAGCUGCUGCUGGCCACUUUGAUGCAUUAAGGGCCCCAAUUUCUAGCAUGCAAUCGGCAGCCUUGAUCCUUCGUCGGAGAUACUUUAAAAGCCACUUAAUUUGUCAUUCUUCUUCUUUAUUUCUUCCAUUGAAGCUUUCUGUAAAUAGAGAGAAAAGAAGUGAACGAGAGAGAAGAAAAGAUAGCAGACCUAAGAGGAAGUGAAGCAGGCUUGCUUGGUAUGGCGUCUUCAUCCUCUCACUGUUUCUCUAAUCGUUUCCUAGACUAGAGAACGUUAAAAAUUACGAAAUUUCGUGAGUGUUUAGGCUUAUAUCUUAGCUAAAUUCCAGAAAAAAUAGAUGACUAAAAGCUCUCUCCGUGAAGGAGAUAUCCAAGGACAAACACCAGUAGCUCAGUUAUAGAGACAACAUCUAACGAAGAUUUAGAAUCAAGAAUUAGGUCAAAUGGAUUAUCCUUGAAGGAGAAACAAUUCCCCAACCACCGAGUGGUCUUGCAUGCAACUCUGGAAACUUUUACAUAUUAUUCGAGCUCAAACCUUCUAUCUUGAGAGAGAAACAAAGGAAAAACUACUAGACACGCGGGCUGUUUCUGGACAAAAACUGUGAGUGACCAAUUCGUGUGUUCAUAGCAAUUCCUUCGUGCGUUUUGACUUCUAAUUAGUGCGUUUUUGAGGUAAGAGGGAUAGUAAUCUAAUUAUUACAUAUAUUGAAUUUUAUAAAUGCAUCUAGAUGAUUAUUUAAACAUGUAAAUUUGAAAUGCUUGUUGUUUUCCGAAAAUGAAUCUAUGUAUAUUGUUGAAGCAUUUAAAUAAUUUAAAUUGAUGUUUUAAUCUUAAUGUAUUGUUGUUUAAAUAAUUUAAAUGCUGCUCGAAGGCCCACAGCCUUCUGUUGAGCAGCCCAAGUGCGGAAGUACCGGCAAAGUGGGUCUGACCGCAGGUGCGGAAAAAUAUUCUCCUUCCACGGGUUGAGGGAAA
Long non-coding RNA from Carica papaya (papaya), 973 nucleotides. RefSeq lists it as uncharacterized. The record is from RefSeq and is a predicted model, not a curated record. Lineage: Eukaryota; Viridiplantae; Streptophyta; Magnoliopsida; Brassicales; Caricaceae.